Molecule: ribosomal RNA, 829 nt
Filed under: Phragmoporthe conformis
Lineage: Eukaryota; Fungi; Ascomycota; Sordariomycetes; Diaporthales; Gnomoniaceae
Description: eukaryotic LSU rRNA
Rfam family: Eukaryotic large subunit ribosomal RNA
Source: RNAcentral
ACAAGAAACCAACAGGGAUUGCCCUAGUAACGGCGAGUGAAGCGGCAACAGCUCAAAUUUGAAAUCUGGCUUCGGCCCGAGUUGUAAUUUGCAGAGGAUGUUUAUGGUGCGGUGCCUACCGAGUUCCCUGGAACGGGACGCCACAGAGGGUGAGAGCCCCGUCUGGUAGGACACUAAACCUGUGUUAAACUCCUUCAACGAGUCGAGUAGUUUGGGAAUGCUGCUCUAAAUGGGAGGUAAAUCUCUUCUAAAGCUAAAUACUGGCCAGAGACCGAUAGCGCACAAGUAGAGUGAUCGAAAGAUGAAAAGCACCUUGAAAAGGGGGUUAAACAGUACGUGAAAUUGUUGAAAGGGAAGCGUUUAUGACCAGACUUGUGUCGUGUGGCUCAUCCGAGGUUCUCCCCGGUGCACUCCACGCGGCUCAGGCCAACAUCGGUUGUCGUUGGGGGAUAAGAACAGUAGGAACGUGGCUCCCCUCGGGGAGUGUUAUAGCCUAUUGUACGAUACCCUGAUGGCGACCGAGGACCGCGCUUCGGCUAGGAUGUUGGCGUAAUGGUCAUUAGCGACCCGUCUUGAAACACGGACCAAGGAGUCGUCCAUUAGAGCGAGCGUUUGGGUGUAAAACCCGCACGCGUAAUGAAAGUGAAAUUAGGUGAGAGCUUCGGCGCAUCAUCGACCGAUCCUGAAGUUUACGGAUGGAUUUGAGUAAGAGUUUUAACGGACGGACCCGAAAGACAGUGAACUAUGCUUGAAUAGGGUGAAGCCAGAGGAAACUCUGGUGGAGGCUCGCAGCGGUUCUGACGUGCAAAUCGAUCGUCAAAUUUGAGCA